RNAcentral lists this ribosomal RNA (498 nucleotides) under uncultured bacterium. RNAcentral describes it as "partial 16S ribosomal RNA". It matches the Rfam family "Bacterial small subunit ribosomal RNA", at positions 28 to 507 of the family's 1533-position model. The record is from RNAcentral.
GACGAACGCUGGCGGCGUGCCUAAUACAUGCAAGUCGAACGGGAGCAACCGGUGCUUGCACUGGUCAAUCUAGUGGCGAACGGGUGAGUAACACGUGGGUAACCUGCCCAUCAGAGGGGGAUAACAUCCGGAAACCGAUGCUAAAACCGCAUAGGUCUUCGAACCGCAUGGUUUUAAGAGGAAAAGAGGCGCAAGCUUCUCCUGAUGGAUGGACCCGCGGUGCAUUAGCUAGUUGGUGAGGUAACGGCUCACCAAGGCCGUGAUGCAUAGCCGGCCUGAGAGGGUGAUCGGCCACAUUGGAACUGAGACACGGCCCAAACUCCUACGGGAGGCAGCAGUAGGGAAUCUUCCGCAAUGGACGAAAGUCUGACGGAGCAACGCCGCGUGAGUGAAGAAGGUUUUCGGAUCGUAAAACUCUGUUGUUAGAGAAGAACAAGUGCUAGAGUAACUGUUAGCGCCUUGACGGUAUCUAACCAGAAAGCCACGGCUAACUACGUG